This 200-nucleotide ribosomal RNA is filed under the name uncultured eubacterium A15-K2. RNAcentral describes it as "partial 16S ribosomal RNA". It matches the Rfam family "Bacterial small subunit ribosomal RNA", at positions 390 to 602 of the family's 1533-position model. The record is from RNAcentral.
AGCAACGCCGCGUGCGGGAUGACGGCCUUCGGGUUGUAAACCGCUUUCGCCUGUGACGAAGCGUGAGUSACGGUAAUGGGUAAAGAAGCACCGGCUAACUACGUGCCAGCAGCCGCGGUGAUACGUAGGGUGCGAGCGUUGUCCGGAUUURUUGGGCGUAAAGGGCUCGUAGGUGGUUGAUCGCGUCGGARGUGUAAUCU